Molecule: RNase P RNA, 359 nt
Filed under: Lacticaseibacillus nasuensis JCM 17158
Lineage: Bacteria; Bacillati; Bacillota; Bacilli; Lactobacillales; Lactobacillaceae
Description: Lactobacillus nasuensis JCM 17158 Bacterial RNase P class B
Rfam family: Bacterial RNase P class B
About the family: Ribonuclease P (RNase P) is a ubiquitous endoribonuclease, found in archaea, bacteria and eukarya as well as chloroplasts and mitochondria. Its best characterised activity is the generation of mature 5'-ends of tRNAs by cleaving the 5'-leader elements of precursor-tRNAs. Cellular RNase Ps are ribonucleoproteins.
Source: Rfam by way of RNAcentral
AAUCUCGAGUAAUCGCGCCCGGCCUAUGUCGGGUGAGGAAAGUCCAUGCCCGCACAAGCUGCGAUGCUUGUAGUGUUCGCGCUAGGCCCAAUAAGCCUAGGUACCGCUUUGGCGGUAACGGCGGUGGCACCGGCUAACGCUUCGGCCAUGCUGGUGCGCCUGAAAGUGCCACAGAAACGAGGCCGCCUGGAAACAGGCGGCAUGGAACGGGUAAACCCCGCGAGCGAGUAACCCAAACUUUGGUAGGGGCGCAAGGGCUAGGGAAUUGAACCGAUGCCCCCAACAGUGCAAACUGAGAUAGAUGAUUACUGAAGGUCCGGCUGCCUGAGUCGGACUGGAACAAAACAUGGCUUAUAGAG